This 94-nucleotide ribosomal RNA is filed under the name Salvator merianae (Argentine black and white tegu). Lineage: Eukaryota; Metazoa; Chordata; Lepidosauria; Squamata; Teiidae. The record is from RNAcentral.
CUUAGCAUUUUUGCCGCCUCUCAGCAGCUGAACAGGGUUGGGCCUGCUUAGUACUUGGGUGAGAGGCUACCUGGGAAUGCAAGCUGAUGUGGGC